GGGGUUGUAGCUCAUUGGGAGAGCACACGGCUGAAGACCGUGGUGUAGGGAGUUCGAUUCUCCCCAGCCCCA
Molecule: transfer RNA, 72 nt
Filed under: archaeon
Lineage: Archaea
Also listed under: 1 other name
Description: tRNA-Phe
Rfam family: tRNA
About the family: Transfer RNA (tRNA) molecules are approximately 80 nucleotides in length. Their secondary structure includes four short double-helical elements and three loops (D, anti-codon, and T loops). Further hydrogen bonds mediate the characteristic L-shaped molecular structure. tRNAs have two regions of fundamental functional importance: the anti-codon, which is responsible for specific mRNA codon recognition, and the 3' end, to which the tRNAs corresponding amino acid is attached (by aminoacyl-tRNA synthetases). tRNAs cope with the degeneracy of the genetic code in two manners: having more than one tRNA (with a specific anti-codon) for a particular amino acid; and 'wobble' base-pairing, i.e. permitting non-standard base-pairing at the 3rd anti-codon position.
Source: RNAcentral